RNAcentral lists this ribosomal RNA (492 nucleotides) under uncultured bacterium. RNAcentral's name for it is "partial 16S ribosomal RNA". It matches the Rfam family "Bacterial small subunit ribosomal RNA", at positions 29 to 507 of the family's 1533-position model. The record is from RNAcentral.
AGUGAACGCUGGCGGUAGGCCUAACACAUGCAAGUCGAACGGCAGCACAGUAAGAGCUUGCUCUUACGGGUGGCGAGUGGCGGACGGGUGAGGAAUACAUCGGAAUCUACUUUUUCGUGGGGGUUAACGUAGGGAAACUUACGCUAAUACCGCAUACGACCUACGGGUGAAAGCAGGGGAUCUUCUGACCUUGCGCGAUUGAAUGAGCCGAUGUCGGAUUAGCUGGUUGGCGGGGUAAAGGCCCACCAAGGCGACGAUCCGUAGCUGGUCUGAGAGGAUGGUCAGCCACACUGGAACUGAGACACGGUCCAGACUCCUACGGGAGGCAGCAGUGGGGAAUAUUGGACAAUGGGCGCAAGCCUGAUCCAGCCAUACCGCGUGGGUGAAGAAGGCCUUCGGGUUGUAAAGCCCUUUUGUUGGGAAAGAAAAGCAGCAGGUUAAUACCCCGCUGUUCUGACGGUACCCAAAGAAUAAGCACCGGCUAACUUCGUG